ACUUAGUGGCGGACGUGGUGAGUAACGCGUGGAUAACCUGCCUUACACUGGGGGAUAACACUUAGAAAUAGGUGCUAAUACCGCAUAAGCGCACGGAGCCGCAUGGCUCAGUGUGAAAAACUCCGGUGGUGUAAGAUGGAUCCGCGUCUGAUUAGCUGGUUGGCGGGGUAGAAGCCCACCAAGGCGACGAUCAGUAGCCGGCCUGAGAGGGUGACCGGCCACAUUGGGACUGAGACACGGCCCAAACUCCUACGGGAGGCAGCAGUGGGGAAUAUUGCACAAUGGGGGAAACCCUGAUGCAGCAACGCCGCGUGAGUGAAGAAGUCAUUCGUGAUGUAAAGCUCUAUCAGCAGGGAAGAAAAUGACGGUACCUGAGUAAGAAGCCCCGGCUAACUACGUGCCAGCAGCCGCGGUAAUACGUAGGGGGCAAGCGUUAUCCGGAUUUACUGGGUGUAAAGGGAGCGUAGACGGCCAGACAAGUCUGAAGUGAAAAUCCAGCGCUUAACGUUGGAAGUGCUUUGGAAACUGCCGGGCUAGAGUGCAGGAGGGGCAGGCGGAAUUCCUAGUGUAGCGGUGAAAUGCGUAGAUAUUAGGAGGAACACCAGUGGCGAAGGCGGCCUGCUGGACUGCAACUGACGUUGAGGCUCGAAGGCGUGGGGAGCAAACAGGAUUAGAUACCCUGGUAGUCCACGCGGUAAACGAUGAUUACUAGGUGUCGGGGGGCUAGAG
RNAcentral lists this ribosomal RNA (729 nucleotides) under uncultured bacterium. Its description in RNAcentral is "bacterial SSU rRNA". It matches the Rfam family "Bacterial small subunit ribosomal RNA", at positions 90 to 836 of the family's 1533-position model. The record is from RNAcentral.